RNAcentral lists this ribosomal RNA (506 nucleotides) under uncultured bacterium. RNAcentral describes it as "partial 16S ribosomal RNA". It matches the Rfam family "Bacterial small subunit ribosomal RNA", at positions 30 to 523 of the family's 1533-position model. The record is from RNAcentral.
AUUGAACGCUGGCGGCAGGCCUAACACAUGCAAGUCGAACGGUAACAGGAAACAGCUUGCUGUUUCGCUGACGAGUGGCGGACGGGUGAGUAAUGUCUGGGAAACUGCCUGAUGGAGGGGGAUAACUACUGGAAACGGUAGCUAAUACCGCAUAACGUCGCAAGCCCAAAGAGGGGGACCUUCGGGACUCUUGCCAUCGGAUGUGCCCGGAUGGGAUUAGCUAGUAGGUGGGGUAACGGCUCACCUAGGCGACGAUCCCUAGCUGGUCUGAGAGGAUGACCAGCCACACUGGAACUGAGACACGGUCCAGACUCCUACGGGAGGCAGCAGUGGGGAAUAUUGCACAAUGGGCGCAAGCCUGAUGCAGCCAUGCCGCGUGUAUGAAGAAGGCCUUCGGGUUGUAAAGUACUUUCAGCGGGGAGGAAGGGAGUAAAGUUAAUACCUUUGCUCAUUGACGUUACCCGCAGAAGAAGCACCGGCUAACUCCGUGCCAGCAGCCGCCGUAA